Molecule: long non-coding RNA, 1158 nt
Filed under: Homo sapiens (human)
Lineage: Eukaryota; Metazoa; Chordata; Mammalia; Primates; Hominidae
Description: non-protein coding lnc-PPP1R14C-1:3
Source: RNAcentral
GGGACUUUGUAAUCCUGGUGCCGGGUUGAACGAAAACCUCAGCCUCUGUUAGUAUUGUCUGAAACACACUGCUUGAGGAGUGUGUGUUAAGGACACUCUAAAAAAGAGACUUGUGGGAGGUUUCAGGCAUUUGGAAGUUUUAGAUACGACUUCAAGUAAGAUUCACUUUCGGGUGAGGUAUUUAUAUCAGCCAGAGUCCCAGCAGGAAGAUGGCAUCUUCCACAAGAUAAGUGGGCCAAGUUUAAAGAUGAGAUGAUCUACACAGGUCUGGGCAGGGCUAUGGGGUUCCCCAGGGGUGGAGGUGCCCCAGGGAGGGGAGUAGCACUAGCACUAAGCCUGAGAGUGCAGCCUGUGCAGUCACCUGUCAGUGCUCAGAGAGUCCCCGUGCUUCGUUUAACCCUCUGCUGUCACAUUCUUGAAAUCUCGAAUACUUUUUGAACAAGGGUUUUUGCAUUUCAUUUUGGCCUUGGGCCCUGCAAAUAAUGUAGCCCAUCUGCUUCGACCUCCUCCAAGUCUGAAGAGACAAAGGGAGGAAGGAAUGACAUUGGUUGGAGCCCAGCUAUGGGAAGGGCUGUUUAAUAGGGUCUGUUGUCUGAGGCCAGGCGCAGUGGCUCAUGCCUGUAAUCCCAGCACUUUGGGAGGCUGAGGCGGGAGGAUCACCGAGGUCAGGAGUUCGAGACCAGCCUGGCCAAGAUGGCGAAACCCCAUCUCUACUGAAAAUACAAAAAUUAGCCAGGUAUUGUCAUGCAUGCCUGUAAUCUCAGCUAUGUGGGAGGCUGAGGCAGGAGAAUCGCUCAAACCUGGGAGAUAGAGAUUGCAGUGAGCCGAGAUGGCACUGCUGCACGCCAGCCUGGGCAACAGAGCAAUACUCUGUCUAAAACAAAAACAAAAAACAGGGUCUGUGGCCCAAUACAGCAGCUACCAUCAUAACUGAGGCUUCCUAUGGAGGAAGAGGGUAUAAAUUCCCUGGCUCUUUCUCCUCCACCCUCAUGAAUCCUGCCAGUGCCUCCCACUGGCUGAAACGCACGAGAGCCUGUAAAUUCCCCAGGCACAGAACGAGGAUGUGAACUGCAGGUAGAAGACCUGGAGGGGGAAGGGAGACUAACGGCACACAUGUAUGCAAAGAAUCAAACGAUCUGCCCUUCCGCAGCCUGCAGG